RNAcentral lists this long non-coding RNA (225 nucleotides) under Manihot esculenta (cassava). RNAcentral's name for it is "long non-coding RNA (MESC_LNC005085)". Lineage: Eukaryota; Viridiplantae; Streptophyta; Magnoliopsida; Malpighiales; Euphorbiaceae. The record is from RNAcentral.
UCGGCCGCCGAAGGUAAUGUUCGGCCGCCGAAAGAGCCUGACUUUCGUCUCUGGAGAGAGGGUUCGACCGCCGAAGGUGCCGCCGAAGGUACCCGAGUUUCGUCUCUGGAGAGAGGGUUCGGCCGCCGAAGGUGCCGCCGAAAGUGCCUGUCCAGCCUUUUCAUGGCUGUUUCCUAUGCAUGUUUCAGUGAUGUUUAGAGGGGUUUUUGGGGAGUUGCUUAUGAG